Long non-coding RNA from Apis cerana (Asiatic honeybee), 961 nucleotides. RefSeq lists it as uncharacterized. The record is from RefSeq and is a predicted model, not a curated record. NCBI's taxonomy places the organism in Eukaryota, Metazoa, Arthropoda, Insecta, Hymenoptera, Apidae.
AUACACGUCACGUGACAAUCAAGCCAAGCGUUACACGUGACGUGUCUAUAGCAGAAGAUAAUAACGUUACGUAGAAAUUGAAUUACGUUUAGUGGUAGUGGGAUAGCAUAGAGUCCGCAUCUAACAAUUCUGCAACUUCGAUCGUCGACUUUAGUGUGCAGCGACAGGAGAAAAGAAUGGGUGUCGACGAUGUGUUUGAGCAUAUGUUCAACGGUUCUCUUCGGCGUAUCGCAUUUUCUAUAAUCACCCCAUCGGCCAGCAGCUGCGGCUGGUGUCAGGGGCGAUCCAUUUGUCAAUCUGCAGCAUAACGGUUCGUUACAAUCCGCAUUCGCGCCUUCUUGAUAGUAAGGAUCGUAGUGAGUAUCGGAGAUAUGAAGGACUUUGAAGGUCGGCGCACCUUCUUGGGGGGGCACUGGUGGUUUCACUGGUGGUUUAUUCACCGGCGGGAAUGCCACUUCCCAUUCGUGUAGAGGAUUGUACGUGUCGUCGCAUGCGUCACCAAUAACAAAGCUACAGAUUUGCGCUGGUCCCAUAUCAACUUGUUUGAGUACGUAAAUUACUUCUCCCUAAACAAAAUAGUUAUUCAAUUUCUAGUAUUGAUUUGAUAAAAUUUGAUUUUGAAUAGAAAAUAAUGAUAUAUUUGAUAUGUAUUUGAUUAUUGGAUACUUUACUUUUUUGCUUGUCAUUAAUUUUGAUGGUUUUGAUUAUAAUGUCAUCAGAUUUAUUAUCUUGAAGAACUAUUACUGAUACAUUAAUUAUUAUAUAUAAAACUACUUAUAUUUAUCAGUAAUGGAUCACGUGAAUUGUGUAUAGUAAUGGGUCGAUUCGAUAUGGUUUUUUAAUCAUAAAGAAUUACAAGCUACAAACAGGUAUAAUUCUUUGGUUACUAAAAGAAACCGAAUUGUAAAUAAUAUUUAUUUGAAUGUUUCGAAUUUUUAUAAAUACAGAAUGUAAGAAAAUA